AGCGAACGCUGGCGGCAGGCCUAACACAUGCAAGUCGAGCGCCGUAGCAAUACGGAGCGGCAGACGGGAGAGUAACACGUGGGAACGUACCCUUUGGUUCGGAACAACCCAGGGAAACUUGGGCUAAUACCGGAUAAGCCCUCACGGGGAAAGAUUCAUCGCCGAAGGAUCGGCCCGCGUCUGAUUAGCUAGUUGGUGGGGUAAUGGCCCACCAAGGCGACGAAUCAGUAGCUGGUCUGAGAGGAUGAUCAGCCUCACUGGGACUGAGACACGGCCCAGACCCCUACGGGAGGCAGCAGUGGGGAAUAUGGGAAAAGGGGCGAAAGCCUGAUCCAGCCAUGCCGGGUGGGUGAUGAAGGCCCCAGGGUUGUAAAGCCCUUUCGGCGGGAAAGAAAAUGACGGUACCCGCAGAAGAAGCCCCGGCUACCUUCGUGCCAGCCGCCGCCGUAA
This 450-nucleotide ribosomal RNA is filed under the name uncultured bacterium. RNAcentral's name for it is "partial 16S ribosomal RNA". It matches the Rfam family "Bacterial small subunit ribosomal RNA", at positions 29 to 523 of the family's 1533-position model. The record is from RNAcentral.